GUAUUGGUGGUUCAGUGGCAGAAUUCUCACUUUUCAUGCAGGAAGCCGGGGUUCGAUUCCCAGUCAGUGCA
Molecule: transfer RNA, 71 nt
Filed under: Loxodonta africana (African savanna elephant)
Lineage: Eukaryota; Metazoa; Chordata; Mammalia; Proboscidea; Elephantidae
Rfam family: tRNA
About the family: Transfer RNA (tRNA) molecules are approximately 80 nucleotides in length. Their secondary structure includes four short double-helical elements and three loops (D, anti-codon, and T loops).
Source: Rfam by way of RNAcentral